RNAcentral lists this ribosomal RNA (422 nucleotides) under uncultured microorganism. Its description in RNAcentral is "bacterial SSU rRNA". It matches the Rfam family "Bacterial small subunit ribosomal RNA", at positions 9 to 430 of the family's 1533-position model. The record is from RNAcentral.
GAGUUUGAUCGUGGCUCAGAUUGAACGCUGGCGGCAUGCCUUACACAUGCAAGUCGAACGGCAGCAUGAUCUAGCUUGCUAGAUUGAUGGCGAGUGGCGAACGGGUGAGUAAUACAUCGGAACGUGCCCUGUAGUGGGGGAUAACUAGUCGAAAGAUUAGCUAAUACCGCAUACGACCUGAGGGUGAAAGUGGGGGACCGCAAGGCCUCAUGCUAUAGGAGCGGCCGAUGUCUGAUUAGCUAGUUGGUGGGUAAAGGCCCACCAAGGCGACGAUCAGUAGCUGGUCUGAGAGGACGAUCAGCCACACUGGGACUGAGACACGGCCCAGACUCCUACGGGAGGCAGCAGUGGGGAAUUUUGGACAAUGGGCGAAAGCCUGAUCCAGCAAUGCCGCGUGUGUGAAGAAGGCCUCGGUUGUAAGU